This 362-nucleotide ribosomal RNA is filed under the name Bifidobacterium breve. Its description in RNAcentral is "partial 23S ribosomal RNA". It matches the Rfam family "Bacterial large subunit ribosomal RNA", at positions 1 to 340 of the family's 2925-position model. The record is from RNAcentral. Lineage: Bacteria; Bacillati; Actinomycetota; Actinomycetes; Bifidobacteriales; Bifidobacteriaceae.
CGUGUUGCCUGCAAGGGCGUAUGGUGGAUGCCUUGGCAGACAGGACCGAUGAAGGACGUUUGAGGCUGCGAUAUGCCUCGGGGAGCCGCCAACAGGGCUUUGAUCCGAGGAUUUCCGAAUGGGGGAACCCACCGGCCGUCAUGGGCCGGUACCGCCGUGUGCGGGGGGUACGCAGGGAAGUGAAACAUCUCAGUACCUGCAGGAAAGGAUAUUCCGUGAGUAGUGGCGAGCGAAAGCGGAUCAGGCCAAACCUUGCGCGUGUGAUACCCGUCGGGGGUUGCGCGCGGGGUGUAGAGGGAUCGCGUUUGCCGGCUCCGACGGGCCGGCCGUCAGUUGCAUAAAACCAUGUGCCAGGGGAACCG